This 2860-nucleotide ribosomal RNA is filed under the name Candidatus Cloacimonadota bacterium. RNAcentral's name for it is "23S ribosomal RNA". It matches the Rfam family "Bacterial large subunit ribosomal RNA". Lineage: Bacteria; Pseudomonadati; Candidatus Cloacimonadota. The record is from RNAcentral.
AGUUAAGGAAAUAAGAGCAUAAGGUGAAUGCCUUGGCACUAAGAGCCGAAGAAGGACGUGACGAACUACGAAAAGCUACGGGGAGUUGUAAGUAAGCAGAGAUCCGUAGAUAUCCGAAUGGGGGAACCCGGCAGCAGAAGGCUGUCACAUCUAGCAAUAGAUGGGGGAACGCAGUGAACUGAAACAUCUUAGUAACUGCAGGAAAAGAAAGCAAUUUAGCGAUUUCUUAAGUAGCGGCGAGCGAAAGAGAAGCAGCCCAUUUAACCAAUUCAAGAGUUACAAAACUUUAUUAUAGUCAAAUCGUAUUGGAAAAGCGAAGCGAAGAGGGUGAAACUCCCGUAGACGAAAUAGUAAAGACUCGGGUUAAAGAAGAGUACGGCGAGGCACGUGGAACCUUGUCGGAAGAACGGAGGACCAUCUCCGAAGGCUAAAUACUACUUAGUGACCGAUAGUGAACCAGUACCGUGAGGGAAAGGUGAAAAGAACCCUGGGAAGGGAGUGAAAGAGAACUUGAAACCAUAUGCUUACAACAAGUCAGAGCCCGUUAAAGGGUGAUGGCGUGCCUUUUGUAGAAUGAACCGGCGAGUUAUGAUAACAUGCGAGGUUAAGCUUUUAGGAGUGGAGCCGCAGCGAAAGCGAGUCUGAAUAGGGCGGAUAUAGUAUGUUGUUAUAGACCCGAAACCGUGCGAGCUAGACAUGAACAGGUUGAAGUUGCGGUAACACGCAAUGGAGGACCGAACCGUAGUCCGUUGAAAAGGGCCCGGAUGAUUUGUGUCUAGGGGAGAAAUUCCAAUCGAGCUCGGAGAUAGCUGGUUCUCACCGAAAUAGCUUUAGGGCUAGCGUCGAACGAUAAAAUGUGUUGGGGGUAAAGCACUGAAUGUAUAAUGGCUUCGCAAGGAGUACUGAAUGCAAUCAAACUCUGAAUACUGACAUAUAAGUUCGGCAGUCAGACUACGGGUGAUAAGGUCCGUGGUCAAGAGGGAAACAGCCCAGAUCGCCAGUUAAGGUCCCAAAAUUUAUGCUAAGUGGGAAAGGAAGUGGAUCCGUAUAGACAUCUAGGAGGUUGGCUUAGAAGCAGCCAUCCUUUAAAGAGUGCGUAACAGCUCACUAGUCGAAUAGAUCUGCGCCGAAGAUGUACCGGGGCUAAGCAUAAUACCGAAACUGCGGAAUUGAUACAUAAGUAUUGAUUGGUAGGUGAGCGUUCUAAGUGCGUCGAAGCAGUACCGUGAGGAGCUGUGGAGCGCUUAGAAGUGAGAAUGCCGGUAUGAGUAACGAAAAGAUGGGUGAGAAUCCCAUCCGUCAAAAGUCCAAGGUUUCCAGGGGAAGGUUCGUCCGCCCUGGGUUAGUCAGGUCCUAAGGUGAGGCUGAAAAGCGUAGCCGAUGGCCAACAGGUUGAUAUUCCUGUACUACCUAAUAGACAGAAGGAGUGACGGAGAAAGAUAACCAGAGCAGACUGGAGGAAUAGUCUGUUUAAGGCAACGAGGGAGUGUGGUAGGCAAAUCCGCCAUGCAUUGAUCCUGAGUGCUGACGACGCAAGUCUGGUGAAUCUCGGCUUCCAAGAAAAGCUUCUAUGAUUAAUUUAUUAGGUACCUGUACCGUAAACCGACACAGGUGGACGAGGAGAGAAUCUAACGACGCGCGAGAUAACCCUUGUUAAGGAACUCGGCAAAUUGACCCCGUAAGUUCGCGAGAAGGGGAGCUUUAAGUAAUUAAAGCCGCAGAGAAGCGGCCCAAGCAACUGUUUACCAAAAACACAGGUUUCUGCUAAAUCGCAAGAUGAAGUAUAGGAGCUGACACCUGCCCAGUGCUGGAAGGUUAAGAGGAGAUGUUAGCGCAAGCGAAGCAUUGAAUUGAAGCCCCAGUGAACGGCGGCCGUAACUAUAACGGUCCUAAGGUAGCGAAAUUCCUUGACAGGUAAGUUCUGUCCCGCACGAAUGGUGUAAUGACUUGGGCACUGUCUCAACAAGGGACUCGGUGAAAUUUUAGUACCUGUGAAGAUGCAGGUUACCCGCGACUAGACGGAAAGACCCCAUGGAGCUUUACUGUAGCUUGAUAUUGAUAUUCGGUAACGGAUGUACAGGAUAGGUGGGAGACUGCGAAGCCGGGACGUUAGUUUCGGUGGAGUCAACGUUGGGAUACCACCCUUCGGUUGCUGGAUAUCUAACCUGCGGAUGUGUAAUCCGGGGGACAGUGUCUGGUGGUCAGUUUGACUGGGGCGGUCGCCUCCCAAAGAGUAACGGAGGCGCACAAAGGUUGGUUCAGAAUGGUUGGGAAUCAUUCGGUGAGUGUAAUGGCAAAAACCAGCUUGACUGCGAGACGUACAUGUCGAGCAGAGACGAAAGUCGGUCAUAGUGAACUGGCGGUUCCGAAUGGAAGGGCCGUCAAUCAACGGAUAAAAGUUACCCUGGGGAUAACAGGCUGAUAACAUCCAAGAGUACACAUCGACGAUGUUGUUUGGCACCUCGAUGUCGGCUCAUCGCAUCCUGGAGGUGGAGUCGCUUCCAAGGGUUGGGCUGUUCGCCCAUUAAAGCGGUACGUGAGCUGGGUUCAGAACGUCGUGAGACAGUUCGGUCCCUAUCUGUCGCGGGCGUUGGAAAUUUGCAGGGAGCUGUCCCUAGUACGAGAGGACCGGGAUGGACGCUCCAAUGGUGCACCAGUUGGUCUGCCAAGGCCAUAGCUGGGUAGCUAAGAGCGGAAGGGAUAAACGCUGAAAGCAUCUAAGCGUGAAGCCCCCCCUAAGAUGAGAUUUCCCAUUCGCAAGAAGUAAGACCCCUCAAAGAUGAUGAGGUUGAUAGGCCAGAGGUGUACGCACGGUGACGUGUUCAGCUGACUGGUACUAAUCGGUCGAGGACUUAACUUU